GAGGUGGGUGAGGGUGAGCCAAAGGAGACUCAGGGAAGCAGGGCGAGCGCACCGAGCGUGGGGGCGAAGUGAGAGUCAAGGCAGGAGAAAGACCGGCCCGGCAGUACCUCUUGACCUGGAUACGAUGCAGCCUUACACCUGGAAGUGGGCACUGGGGCCCCCAAAAAAGGAGAGCCCCCAAAGAAGUCCCCAAGCCUCUCUCAUGAAAGUGGAAGGGAACGCAUAAUGCUCAGAGAAAGUGCAGAAAUCUUGUUUUUUGUUUUGUUUUGUUCUGUUUUCCCUUCUCAAUGUUUUGUUGUACUCCAGCUCCCAAGCAGUCCUGUGAUCGUGAUCGUGGGGGCCACAGUGGGAGCCAACAAGAGCUAAUACUCUAUGGGAGGAAAACCUCCUCUGAAUGGUGGCGCUGUGGCCCCAAGAGGGUGGGACCAUUACCUUUUUCUCUUUUUCCAUCCUUCUGCUGCUUGGCCCUGGUUCUAAGCACAGUCAUACAAGUAUGAAGCAAAAAGAGGUAACUAAUGACUCAGCUUGGUGGCCCAAGGACCAAAAGGGAGAGCACAGAGUAACUGAAAAGAACCUGAGAGACUGUGCCAUGGACUGGAUGUUUAUGUCUCCCUAAAAUUCAUGUUAAAACAUAAUCCCCAAUGUGAUAGUAUUAGAAAGUGGAGCCUUUGGGAGGUAGUUGGGUUAUGAGGUGGAAUUCCUCAUGCAUGGGAUUAGUGUCCCUAUAAAAGAGUCCCCAAAGAGCUCACUCACCCCUUCCCGUCUACCAUGUUAGGAUACACAGAAAGACAGCCGUCUAUGAACCAGGAAGUGGGACUUCAUCAGACACCAAAUCUGCGAGUGCCUCAAUCUUGGGUUUCCCAGCCUCCAGAACUGUAAUAAAUAAACUGUUGUUUAAACCACCCUGCCAAUAGCAUUCUCGUAACAGUAGCUUGAACAAACUGAGAAAGAUUGUUUAUGAACUCCUGGGCUCACCAAUGGAUUAUGUAUAUGUGCAUCUGAUUCUGCUCAGCAUACCAAUGACUUUGAGAACUGACUAACAGAUACACCACGACCAUGUCCCAGCUGACCACCAGAUAACCCAUAUGCAGGACAAAUCUGAAGAGUGCUGCACAGGUUUGAAAAGCUGAGCUGACAUUGGAACCACAGCCCACAGAAGGUGGGUUGAAACUUGCAGCCUUAACCUAGUCAGAUCGAUCGUCUACUUAAAAAAAAUUAACAUUUUUUCUCUACAAAGUUUAAAUGAGACUCAGAGUUUUGGAACAUAAUAUUCAAUGUGUCCAGGAUGCCAUCCAAAAUUACUUGGGGUACAAAGAAUGAGAAAAAUCUCAACUUGCUUGGGAAAAGAAAAUCAAAAGACACCAAUACCAUGGUGACACAGAUGCUGGAAUUAUUUGACAAAGACUUUAAAACAGCUAUUAUAUAAAUGCUUAAAUAGUUACAAACAGUCUUAAAACAAAUGGAAAAAUAGAUUCAGCAAAGAAAUAGAGCCAAAUGGAAAUUUUAUAGAAGAAAAAUACAAUGACCAAAAUAAAAAAUAAACUUCACAGGAUAGGCUCAAAAGAAUGGAAAAGACAGAAAGAAUCAGCAUACUUGAAGCUAUUUCAACAGGAAUUUUCCAAUCUAAACAACAGGGAAAAAGAUUUUUAGAAAAAUGAACAGAGCCUCAGGGGCCCAUAGGUUAGUACCAGAAGGUCUUACAUUCACGUCAUCAGAGUCCCAGAAGGAGAGGAGAGUGUGGUGCUGAAAAAAUAUUUGCAGAUGUAAUGACUGAAAACUUCCCAGAUAUGACAAAAGAUAUAAACAGAGAGAGUUAAGAAAUUCAGCUAACUCCAAACAAGACAAAGCUGAAGAAAUCCAUGCCCAGAUGACAUAAUCAAUCUACUGAAAACUACAAAAAAAAAAAAAAAAAAAAAAAUUAAAAGAAGCCAAAGAAAAAUUAUGCAUUAGCUUUUGUCAGACAAUGAUUCAAGUAACUGCAAAUUUCUCAUCAGAGCCAUGGAGAUCAGAAGAAAGCAUCACAACAUCUUUCAAAUGUUAAAAGAAGUGAUAACUCAGGAUAUAUACGUACCUAGAUAUACUUUAAGAGUAAAUAAAAACUUCUCAGAUGAAGGAAAACUAAAAUAAUUCAUUGCCAGUAAACUUGCUCUAAAGAAUUUUUACAGUAAGUUCCUCAGACAGAAGAGAAAUGAUACCAGAAAGAAACUUCAAAGUGUUUCUUUAGAAAGGAAGAUUAUUCAUUCCAUUUACAUUUAAUUAAGUUAUUUAUAUAUUUGGAUUUAGAUUACCAUUUUAUUACUUGUUUUCUGUGUAUUCCCUCUGUUUUCCUUUUAGAUUUUUGAACCCUCUUUAGUAUUUUAUUUUUUACCUAUGGUGAUUUUGACUCUAUAGUUUUUAAGUUGGUUUUUCUAGGGAUAUAAUAUACAUACUUAACUUUUCACAGUCCACUUUAACCAGUGUUUUACCAUUUUAAGUGGUUAGUAGAAAUCUACCCACAUAUAGGUCCUUACCCUCUCCUUUAAUAUUAUAAUUCUAUUAUCUCUUACAUCUACGUACAUUGAAACCCCAUUAGAAAAGAUAAUAUUUUUUUGCUUUCAACCAUCAAAUAUACUUUGAAGAAUAGAAUUUAAGAGGAAGAAAAUAGUCUAUUAUAUUUACCUAGACAUACACCAUUUCUACUGCUUCUUCAUUUCUUCAAUAAAAAUAUCUAGUAAGAUGAAGUGGAUAUUUUCCCCUCAGCAGGGCUGAUCUGGUUAUCAACUGCUGGGAGUCUAAUCUACCAUCCCUGCUGGUAGAACAGCAUGAGCAAGGCACAGAGGUGGGAAAGUAAAGAAUGUGCUUGGGAAUAGCAAGGGGUCUGCUUUGAUAAGAAUGUGGAGUUAGCUGCUGGGUAAAAGGAAGAGGGAGAAGUUUAACAUCUAGUCAGAAGAUGUGUCUGUGGCAAGACUGUGUAUGAAAAGAGAAGUCUUUUCCCCAAAUGGAAGUCGCAAUGAAGUAAGUAGCAGUUAUUGCCAAGACCUGUCAAGGCUGAAGGGAAGCAAAGAUUUCAUUCCCUAGCGUUAUGUUAACAAAAGAAUGAGCCAAACUAUAAAGUCAUUCUUAGUGUAAACAUUCCAAAACUGCUCUUGGACAAACUCAGGGACCUUGGGAUGCUAAAAGGCCCAAGAAAAUGUGUGAAUGAGGUCAAUUACAGGUCAAGACAGAAAGGCAAAGGAGAAUGAAGAAGACGAGUUAUAACUAAAGAGACAAUCAAUGAAGAGACCACCAGAAAUCUCCUUUUGGGAAGAUGAGGAGCACAUUUUCAUCAACAUUGGUAAGAUGAUUCACAAGUGCAAAAGCUGAAAUUGAACUCAUAAUUUAAUGAAAGGUUUUAAGAAAAAUAAUAGAUUUCUCUCUGAAUACUUAAACAUCCUAAAAAUAUAAAAUUUCAUCCUGGUAAUUCAAUUUUGACAUAUAUAAAUAAAUACUUUCACCAUAAAUUAUCUCCUGCACCCUUUAGAGAGGCAAACAUUUCUGAACCAAUAAAAAUAAGAAGGAUCACUAAUGA
This is a long non-coding RNA of Pteropus alecto (black flying fox), 3547 nucleotides long. RefSeq lists it as uncharacterized. Lineage: Eukaryota; Metazoa; Chordata; Mammalia; Chiroptera; Pteropodidae. The transcript has 2 exons. The record is from RefSeq and is a predicted model, not a curated record.